GACGAACGCUGGCGGCGUGCUUAACACAUGCAAGUCGAACGGAAAGGCCCUGCUUUUGUGGGGUGCUCGAGUGGCGAACGGGUGAGUAACACGUGAGUAACCUGUCCUUGACUUUGGGAUAACUUCAGGAAACUGGGGCUAAUACCGGAUAGGAGCUCCUGCUGCAUGGUGGGGGUUGGAAAGUUUCGGCGGUUGGGGAUGGACUCGCGGCUUAUCAGCUUGUUGGUGGGGUAGUGGCUUACCAAGGCUUUGACGGGUAGCCGGCCUGAGAGGGUGACCGGCAACAUUGGGACUGAGAUACGGCCCAGACUCCUACGGGAGGCAGCAGUGGGGAAUAUUGCACAAUGGGCGGAAGCCUGAUGCAGCAACGCCGCGUGCGGGAUGACGGCCUUCGGGUUGUAAACCGCUUUCGCCUGUGACGAAGCGUGAGUGACGGUAAUGGGUAAAGAAGCACCGGCUAACUACGUG
This 468-nucleotide ribosomal RNA is filed under the name uncultured bacterium. Its description in RNAcentral is "partial 16S ribosomal RNA". It matches the Rfam family "Bacterial small subunit ribosomal RNA", at positions 28 to 507 of the family's 1533-position model. The record is from RNAcentral.